Long non-coding RNA from Ruditapes philippinarum (Manila clam), 400 nucleotides. RefSeq lists it as uncharacterized. The record is from RefSeq and is a predicted model, not a curated record. NCBI's taxonomy places the organism in Eukaryota, Metazoa, Mollusca, Bivalvia, Venerida, Veneridae. The transcript has 3 exons.
CAAUAACUUUCUCUGCUGGAAGCUACGCAACCGGGACCGGGACAAGAAGCCUUGUUCCUGCAAGUUUGGAGUCAUUUGAUGAUAUCUUAGGCUCGUCAGGAUGUUUCUACAAGAAUCAGAUUUAUCAAGAAGGGGCCUCCUGGAAUGAUGGUUGUAACUACACAUGUCGCUGUCUCGAUGGAAGGUCUGGACUGUACCAUUGUAAACGUUCUAUAUGCAAAGUCGUGAACUCUGCAAAUUUCCCCGACUCUGAGAAACUGUUACACAGCAUUUUGGGGAGGAAAAAUCAACGACAUCUUUCCCGCUUACAAUUGAAUUAGAUGUAAAAAACUUACAAGCUUUGAAUUUAAAUCUAUAUAUGUGAUGUGUCUCGUUCAGAAUAUAAUGCUUGUAAAAUAAA